RNAcentral lists this ribosomal RNA (468 nucleotides) under uncultured bacterium. RNAcentral describes it as "partial 16S ribosomal RNA". It matches the Rfam family "Bacterial small subunit ribosomal RNA", at positions 28 to 507 of the family's 1533-position model. The record is from RNAcentral.
GACGAACGCUGGCGGCGUGCUUAACACAUGCAAGUCGAACGGAAAGGCCCUGCUCUUGUGGCGUGCUCGAGUGGCGAACGGGUGAGUAACACGCGAGUAACCUGCCCUUGACUUUGGGAUAACUUCAGGAAACUGGGGCGAAUACCGGAUAGGAGCUCUUGCUGCACGGUGGGGGUUGGAAAGUUUCGGUGGUUGUGGAUGGUCUCGCGGCUUAUCAGCUGGUUGGUGGGGUAGUGGCUUACCAAGGCUUUGACGGAUAGCCUGCCUGUGAGGGUGACCGGCCACCAUGGGACUGAGAUACGGCCCAGAAUGCUACGGGACGCAGCAGUGGGGAGUAUUGCGCAAUGAGCGGACGCGAGAUGCAGCGACGCCGCGUGCGGAAUAACGGGCUUCGGGUUAUGAACAGCUUUGGAAUGUGCCGAGGAGUGAGUGACGGUAAUGGGUAAAGAAGCACCGGCUAACUACGUG